This 503-nucleotide ribosomal RNA is filed under the name uncultured bacterium. Its description in RNAcentral is "partial 16S ribosomal RNA". It matches the Rfam family "Bacterial small subunit ribosomal RNA", at positions 30 to 523 of the family's 1533-position model. The record is from RNAcentral.
AUUGAACGCUGGCGGCAGGCUUAACACAUGCAAGUCGAGCGGAGUGAUGGUGCUUGCACUAUCACUUAGCGGCGGACGGGUGAGUAAUGCUUAGGAAUCUGCCUAUUAGUGGGGGACAACAUCUCGAAAGGGAUGCUAAUACCGCAUACGUCCUACGGGAGAAAGCAGGGGAUCACUUGUGACCUUGCGCUAAUAGAUGAGCCUAAGUCGGAUUAGCUAGUUGGUGGGGUAAAGGCCUACCAAGGCGACGAUCAGUAGCGGGUCUGAGAGGAUGAUCCGACACACUGGGACUGAGACACGGCCCAGACUCCUGCGGGAGGCAGCAGUGGGGAAUAUUGGACAAUGGGGGGAACCCUGAUCCAGCCAUGCCGCGUGUGUGAAGAAGGCCUUAUGGUUGUAAAGCACUUUAAGCGAGGAGGAGGCUCUUUUGGUUAAUACCCAAGGUGAGUGGACGUUACUCGCAGAAUAAGCACCGGCUAACUCUGUGCCAGCAGCCGCAGUAA